CGCAAUUAGCGAGGCACCUUAUUCAGCAGCACCGCCGCUCCUCGGGCUUUUGUUCCUUCGCUUCUCCGCCUCGGCCGAGCCCUCCCCGGUGCCUCCUGUGAGCUCCCGGCGCCUCCUGAAGUUGCUUUGCAAGAUUCCUCCCCUCGAAAUAAAAAAAAGAAUCGCUGGAGUCCCGUGGGUGAAGCUGAGGGACGAAAGAGGGAAAGAAAAGGAAAAAAAAAAAAAAAAGGAGGAAAGGAAAAAAAAAAAAACCACCCAAAAGUCUCCGGAUUCUCCAGCUCCCGGUGAUGCCCCAGUUCACCUUCGCCUGUUUCUGCGGCCUCCACGGCUUCUGCAAGAUGAAGAGGAAGAAGGAGGAGGCUGGCGGGGGGCAGGAGACGGCCGUGUGAGGGGCGGGACCCCUCCUGUCCCCCCGGCUCCCCGGGGCAGAGCCAGAUCCCGCCCUGUCCUUGCUGGGGAUGUCACCGGGAUGUCACCAAGGUGCCACCACCACCCUGCCAGGACUACAAAUUCCUACAAAUCCCAGUGCCACGGAUUCCUGGUGUUCAUGGAAGGAGCCUCCACCUCAUUGAGAAAGCAGAAAAAUGAAUUUUUUCCCAGCAGCAAUAAUCCUUUUUUAACCCCAACACAGCAAGGAAAGGAUCCAGCUUCCCUCAGAGCUGCCCUCCUCACAUUCCCAUUGGGAAUUUGGGAAUUUGGGCAAUUCCUUCAUCCUGGUGGCAGCCAAGAGAUAAAAAUCCCCAAAACCCCACAAAAAACCAAAAAAAGCCCAAAACCAAAAUCCCCUUUUUUAACAUUUAUCUCUCCUGGUCAAAACUCUCCCUUCUCCCUUCCACAGGGAGGAUUUUCUUCCAGCUAUUCCCAGUCUUCCUGUAGGCCAAAAUAAUCGGUGGCUGCCCCCAAAAUUUGGUGUUUUUCCGAAUGUUCUGCCAAGGACAAAGCUCCAGGUGUGCCCAGGACAUCUCCAGUUGCUCUGGGGAAAUGCUGAUUUUGUCCUGUUCCUAUUUUUGCACAUCAGCAGAGCCCGUUCCACCUUUCAUCCCCAGCGCUGCCCUUGGCGAGGACAUUUGGGCCAAAAAAAACCCCAAAAUCCAAGGAAGCUGGUGGAACUCCAAGGGCAUUUCCUGAAUGUAACUUUAUUUUUAUGCACAAGGAUUUGUGGUGGUCACAAAGGGAUGUGUUUGAGGAUUUUAACAAGUUGGGAUUAAUCCCUGCUGUGGAAUUGAUAUGGAGUGUAAAGAUAAAGGUGGAAUUCCAGCUUUGUUUUAUGCCAGGAUAAAUCCACAAGGACACAGAUAUGAAGGAAAAUAUGAAUUAUAGAGAAACCAGCUUGGACUGACACCCAUCCCUGAGAUUUCUCCUGUUUCUCCAGGUUUUUCCUAUGCAAAAAAACCACACAAAAAACCAGCAAAAACAAAGCCAGCUCAGCAGCAGGUCCUGACUCAACAAAGCCCCGCUUAAACCUCAGGCUUUGCCUCGGGGUUUUGCUCCACCCCAUCGAUUUUCCUGAUUCCAGCCUGGAUCGAUCCCUGGAAAAGAGGGAAAGGCUCAGAACCCUCCUUGAAGCCUUUCCUGACCUGGAUCAAAGCAUUAAUUCUCUUUUUAUUGUCCUUUUUUUAUCCCUGCUGCCCGGAUUUCUUUGGGAAAGGACUCCCAGGAUGUUCCUGAGGAGUCUCCCAGCCCAGGAGCCAUAAAAUCUGUACUGUACAUUUAUUUUUUGGGGUAUUUAUUUUUUAAUAUUUUUAUUAUUUUAUUAUUUUAAAAUUUUAUUUAUGGGGGGCAAAGUAGAUAUGGCAUUUGUAAAUAAGCACAGACAUCUUCCACGCACAGAGCAGAGAGCUUCCUAUAGGAAUUCCUAUGCUACAAGUAUAAAUAAAUUAAUAAAUUAAUACA
Long non-coding RNA from Junco hyemalis (dark-eyed junco), 1893 nucleotides. NCBI's taxonomy places the organism in Eukaryota, Metazoa, Chordata, Aves, Passeriformes, Passerellidae. The record is from Ensembl.